This 484-nucleotide ribosomal RNA is filed under the name uncultured bacterium. RNAcentral describes it as "partial 16S ribosomal RNA". It matches the Rfam family "Bacterial small subunit ribosomal RNA", at positions 30 to 507 of the family's 1533-position model. The record is from RNAcentral.
AUUGAACGCUGGCGACAGGCCUAACACAUGCAAGUCGAGCGGAUGAAGGGAGCUUGCUCCUGGAUUCAGCGGCGGACGGGUGAGUAAUGCCUAGGAAUCUGCCUGGUAGUGGGGGAUAACGUCCGGAAACGGGCGCUAAUACCGCAUACGUCCUGAGGGAGAAAGUGGGGGAUCUUCGGACCUCACGCUAUCAGAUGAGCCUAGGUCGGAUUAGCUAGUUGGUGGGGUAAAGGCCUACCAAGGCGACGAUCCGUAACUGGUCUGAGAGGAUGAUCAGUCACACUGGAACUGAGACACGGUCCAGACUCCUACGGGAGGCAGCAGUGGGGAAUAUUGGACAAUGGGCGAAAGCCCGAUCCAGCCAUGCCGCGUGUGUGAAGAAGGUCUUCGGAUUGUAAAGCACUUUAAGUUGGGAGGAAGGGCAGUAAGUUAAUACCUUGCUGUUUUGACGUUACCAACAGAAUAAGCACCGGCUAACUUCGUG